GGGGCAUUCCAGGGCAGAAUUCCUCUAAGUGGCUGGUAGGACUGAUGACACGAUUGGGGCAGAUGUCUGUGAUCAGCGAAGCUGCCCAUGUAGCCUUCUAGAAAACAUUCAGGGCUGCUCUGUAGGCUCCUAGAUAUUCUGUCCUACAUACAUUUAUUGCUUGUGUCUAGAGCCUGUAGAACUUUAAUUUCUGCUACUAAAAUUCCAACACCUUCAAAAUUUCUGGGUCCCAUCAGCAAAGAAGCAGUGGAACCAUUUCUACAGCCACCAACACUCAAUUCAUGAGGGCCUGUAUGGAUGCCAGAGUACCCUGACCAUAGGACCGAAACAUUGUGGCUAGGUUUCUGGAUCACUUCUGCCUUCCUUAGGAAUUGUUUUAUGUGGCCCUGCAGAGUACGGUACGAGGGCCGCUGGCUUGUACGGUCCUGCACAGCAAGGCCCGGGCGCCCACGAGCCAAGGUACAUCACCUGAAACAGAUCAAAUGUAAGAUGAAGAAAUAACCUCUCAUUCAUUGACGGGUGAACAAAGAGAAAGGACACACUAAGACUCCGGUUCAUCUCUAGUCCCAGGGAUUUGACUCGUCUAAUUCAAGCUUUAUUUGGAUAGAUGAAUUCAAAAUGCUGUUUUCUAAUGAGAUGAAAAGCUGCUAAUGAUACCAAAUAAGAAAAUACCAAAGAAAAGUAUAGCUUUUAAGAGGUGAGAUCGUGAGAGUUUACCCACAAAGGAAUA
Molecule: long non-coding RNA, 730 nt
Filed under: Fukomys damarensis (Damara mole-rat)
Lineage: Eukaryota; Metazoa; Chordata; Mammalia; Rodentia; Bathyergidae
Description: lncRNA (ENSFDAG00000029852.1)
Source: RNAcentral